Long non-coding RNA from Neogale vison (American mink), 577 nucleotides. RefSeq lists it as uncharacterized. The transcript is spliced from 4 exons. The record is from RefSeq and is a predicted model, not a curated record. NCBI's taxonomy places the organism in Eukaryota, Metazoa, Chordata, Mammalia, Carnivora, Mustelidae.
CGUUCUCAGAGGCUGGGAGACGUUUUGAACCGCUAUUUCCGCAAAAGCCGUGGAACCGGCGGACCCAUGGGAAGGCGUGGUCUGUCGCCUACAACCGGCGGAAUUAUGGUGUCUGGCGAACUCUCCAGAUCGCCGGGUCCAUCACUUAAACCACUCUUCUGCUCCUCCACUCCCUUGGUUCUUGUUCCAUCUCCUCAAACCUAUAUGCAUGCACCUGUCCAGACCCUGCCUAAAAGCACUGUUGCUCCAGAAAGGUGCUGAAGAAAAAUGCCAGGACUGCGCAGGACGGCUGGGAAAGGCCUAUGCAAGGAAUGAAGUGACUGAGUGACCAAGCCAGGAAACACCUGGAGGAGUGUGUUUGCGGGGUGGACAGCAAGUGCAAAGAUCCUGAGAUUCAGCCACCGCCUAACCCCAGUCCUGACAUACCAGGGUACUUGACAUUCUUUGCAGCAACACAAUGGAUGAAGAUGAACAGGAACUUCAGAAUAAGAACUGACGACGUGUGAAUCUUGGUUCUACCAUUCACUGAGGCACUUUCUGUCUUCGUACAUGUCUAAGUAAAAGGUGCCUAAUGUUG